Molecule: ribosomal RNA, 600 nt
Filed under: uncultured bacterium
Lineage: Bacteria
Description: bacterial SSU rRNA
Rfam family: Bacterial small subunit ribosomal RNA
Source: RNAcentral
CUUGAGAGCGGCGUACGGGUGCGGAACACGUGUGCAACAGCUUUAUCUGGGGGAUAGCCUUUCGAAAGGAAGAUUAAUACCCCAUUAUAUGUUGAAUGGCAUCAUUCGACAUUGAAAACUCCGGUGGAUAGAGAUGGGCACGCGCAAGAUUAGAUAGUUGGUGAGGUAACGGCUCACCAAGUCUACGAUCUUUAGGGGGCCUGAGAGGGUGAUCCCCCACACUGGUACUGAGACACGGACCAGACUCCUACGGGAGGCAGCAGUGAGGAAUAUUGGACAAUGGGUGAGAGCCUGAUCCAGCCAUCCCGCGUGAAGGACGACUGCCCUAUGGGUUGUAAACUUCUUUUGUAUAGGGAUAAACCUACCCUCGUGAGGGUAGCUGAAGGUACUAUACGAAUAAGCACCGGUUAACUCCGUGCCAGCAGCCGCGGUAAUACGGAGGGUGCAAGCGUUAUCCGGAUUUAUGGGUUUAAAGGGUCGGUAGGCGGAAUUCCUGUAAGGUCCANUGGUGGAAUUCUCCACANUUUAAAUUGUGGAAAUUGGCCNUUGGGUAUAAACUGGGGCGGGGUCCUUGGGAGUUGGUUGGGUUGAAAUUUACGU